UCUGGCGUCCGCUCUCGUACGAACGCGAGAUCCGCGAGGCUCGGCGAAUACGUCUAGUCGGGAUUUCAGGUCGGCGCAUGGAAUUGCGGCUUUAUUGGCGAUCGGGUGUUUUUCAUUCGGCUGAUCGAGUGAGGAUUUUUAAUCGAGGGGAUUCACUGAAUAAACUCAAAGUGAUUCAAAGUGAUUUAUAAUUUAAGAAAUUCAAGAAAAUCAUCGAACAAAAAUUUUGAGGUAUCGAGGAGGCGUGA
This is a long non-coding RNA of Ceratosolen solmsi marchali, 248 nucleotides long. RefSeq lists it as uncharacterized. NCBI's taxonomy places the organism in Eukaryota, Metazoa, Arthropoda, Insecta, Hymenoptera, Agaonidae. The record is from RefSeq and is a predicted model, not a curated record. The transcript is spliced from 3 exons.